RNAcentral lists this non-coding RNA (84 nucleotides) under Vitrella brassicaformis. Lineage: Eukaryota; Vitrellaceae. The record is from RNAcentral.
CACACACCUGCAUGUCGUCUCGGCAAAUGCCAUUUUUUUGUUUUUUUACUUUUUGUUUUUCUAUCUUCUCUAGUGUGGAAGUAC